AGAGUUUGAUCCUGGCUCAGGACGAACGCUGGCGGCGUGCUUAACACAUGCAAGUCGAACGAUGAAGUUCCUUCGGGAAUGGAUUAGUGGCGAACGGGUGAGAAACACGUGAGAAACCUGCCUUUCAUUCUGGGAUAACACCGGGAAACCGGUGCUAAUACCUGAUACUCCAUCUUGGCGGCAUCGCCGAGCUGGGGAAAAAUUUUGAUGAAAGAUGGUCUCGCGGCCUAUCAGCUAGUUGGUGAGGUAAAGGCUCACCAAGGCGACGACGGGUAGCCGGCCUGAGAGGGCGACCGGCCACACUGGGACUGAGACACGGCCCAGACUCCUACGGGAGGCAGCAGUAGGGAAUAUUGGGCAAUGGGCGAAAGCCUGACCCAGCGACGCCGCGUGAGGGAUGAAGGUCUUCGGAUUGUAAACCUCUUUCAGUAGGGAAGAAGCGAAAGUGACGGUACCUAAAGAAGAAGCACCGGCUAACUAUGUGCCAGCAGCCGCGGUAAUACAUAGGGUGCAAGCGUUGUCCGGAAUUAUUGGGCGUAAAGAGCUCGUAGGUCGUUUGUCGCGUCGAUUGUGAAAAUCUGAGGCUCAACCUCAGACCUGCAGUCGAUACGGGCAAACUAGAGUGUGGUAGGGGAGACUGGAAUUCCUGGUGUAGCGGUGGAAUGCGCAGAUAUCAGGAGGAACACCAAUGGCGAAGGCAGGUCUCUGGGCCAUAACUGACACUGAGGAGCGAAAGUGCGGGGAGCGAACAGGAUUAGAUACCCCGGUAGUCCGCACCGUAAACGGUGGGCACUAGUUGUGGGAACCUUCCACGGUUUCCGCGACGCAGCAAACGCAUUAAGUGCCCCGCCUGGGGAGUACGAUCGCAAGAUUAAAACUCAAAGGAAUUGACGG
Molecule: ribosomal RNA, 894 nt
Filed under: uncultured Actinomycetes bacterium
Lineage: Bacteria; Bacillati; Actinomycetota; Actinomycetes
Description: bacterial SSU rRNA
Rfam family: Bacterial small subunit ribosomal RNA
Source: RNAcentral